GACGAACGCUGGCGGCGUGCUUAACACAUGCAAGUCGAACGGAAAGGCCCUGCUUUUGUGGGGUGCUCGAGUGGCGAACGGGUGAGUAACACGUGAGUAACCUGCCCUUGACUUUGGGAUAACUUCAGGAAACUGGGGCUAAUACCGGAUAGGAGCUCCUGCUGCAUGGUGGGGGUUGGAAAGUUUCGGCGGUUGGGGAUGGACUCGCGGCUUAUCAGCUUGUUGGUGGGGUAGUGGCUUACCAAGGCUUUGACGGGUAGCCGGCCUGAGAGGGUGACCGGCCACCUUGGGACUGAGAUACGGCCCAGACUCCUACGGGCGGCAGCAGUGGGGAAUAUUGCACAAUGGGCGGAAGCCUGAUGCAGCAACGCCGCGUGCGGGAUGACGGCCUUCGGGUUGUAAACCGCUUUCGCCUGUAACGAAGCGUGAGUGACGGUAAUGAGUAAAGAAGCACCGGCUAACUACGUG
RNAcentral lists this ribosomal RNA (468 nucleotides) under uncultured bacterium. RNAcentral's name for it is "partial 16S ribosomal RNA". It matches the Rfam family "Bacterial small subunit ribosomal RNA", at positions 28 to 507 of the family's 1533-position model. The record is from RNAcentral.